CCAUGUCUUGUAAUUGGAAUGAGUAGAAUUCAAAUCCCUUACGAGUAUCGAUUGGAGGGCAAGUCUGGUGCCAGCAGCCGCGGUAAUUCCAGCUCCAAUAGCGUAUAUUAAAGUUGUUGCGGUUAAAAAGCUCGUAGUUGGAUUUCUGGCAGAGUGACUCCGGCCGCAGCAUUGCGAGUUGGGAGCGCCCUACCAUCCUUCGGUUAACCUUUACGGAAUUCACUUUCUGUGCUGGGGCUCCGAUAUUUUACCUUGAGAAAAUUAGAGUGUUUCAGGCAGGCUAUCGCCGGAAUACAUUAGCAUGGAAUAAUGGAAAAGGACUACUACCUCUUCUGUUGGUCUGGGAGGCAGCAGUAAUGAUUAAUAGGGAUAGUUGGGGGCAUUAGUACUUAAUAGCAAGAGGUGAAAUUCUCUGAUUUGUUAAAGACUAACUUAUGCGAAAGCAUUUGCCAAGGAUGUUCUCAUUAAUCAAGAACGAAAGUUAGGGGAUCAAAGACGAUCAGAUACCGUCCUAGUCUUAACCAUAAACUAUGCCGACUCGGGAUCGGAGGCACGCAAAAUCGGUCUUCGGCACCGUAUGAGAAAUCAAAGUCUUUGGGU
This 600-nucleotide ribosomal RNA is filed under the name uncultured ciliate. Its description in RNAcentral is "bacterial SSU rRNA". It matches the Rfam family "Eukaryotic small subunit ribosomal RNA", at positions 496 to 1112 of the family's 1831-position model. Lineage: Eukaryota; Ciliophora. The record is from RNAcentral.